AUGUCAUUUGCCGGCGUGUCUCUCGUCGGCGACAGCAAGGCCGUCGGCCACGCCAUCGACAUCCCCAGUGCCAGUGGGUACCACCUGCUUGUGGUUAACCGCUACUUGCACACCAAAGCCACUGUAUCCAAUGGCACGAAGAUCGUGUCUCUCCCUUUCAUGAUAGGAGGUCAUCGUUGGCGCAUAAGCUACUAUCCUAAUGGCGACCGCUCAGAGUGUGCGGACUCAAUAUCUCUCUUUCUAUGUCUUCUUGAUGAAAAUGUUGCAGAGGCUCUGAAUGUGCAGUCCAUUUUUAGUUUUGUCGACGAGCAUGAGAAGCAAGAUUCAACAUAUAUUCGUGCAAGAAAGGCAGAUAACUUCUCAAGCAGUACUACAUCUUGGGGUCGCCGGUGUUUCAUAAAAAAAGACGCUCUUGAGAAAUCAAAGCAUCUAAAAGAUGAUUGUUUCACCAUUCGAUGUGACCUCGCCAUUGCCACCACAGUUGAUCUCUUCAUCAAGGUACCACCUUCUAGCAUCAAACAGCAUAUCACCAAUCUCCUCAUGUCCAAGGAGGGCACUGACGUAACAUUCAUGGUGUGUGGUGAGAAGUUUGCUGCCCACCGAUGCGUGCUUGCAGCUCGAUCUACAGUCUUCAAGGCGGAGCUGUUUGGCUCCAUGAAAGACAACACAAUAGCAAGUGUCAUAGAUGUAGAAGACAUGGAAGCGAAGGUGUUUAGGGCCUUGCUUGACUUCAUUUACACCGACUCAUUGCCUGAGAUGGAGACGGACACGGGGGAUGAGGAAGAAGCCCAGGAAGCAUUGUGGCUGCAACACUUGCUCGCAGCGGCGGAUAGAUAUGAUCUCCAGAGGCUGAAAGCACUGUGUGAAAAGAAUUUGUGUGAACACGUAGACGUGAGCUCAGUGACAACUAUUCUUACACAAGCUGAGUAG
Molecule: ribosomal RNA, 930 nt
Filed under: Triticum aestivum (bread wheat)
Lineage: Eukaryota; Viridiplantae; Streptophyta; Magnoliopsida; Poales; Poaceae
Description: partial small subunit ribosomal RNA
Source: RNAcentral